AUGGGGUGACUGCGUACCUUUUGUAUAAUGGGUCAGCGACUUAUAUUCUGUAGCAAGGUUAACCGUAUAGGGGAGCCGGAGGGAAACCGAGUCUUAAUUGGGCGUUAAGUUGCAGGGUAUAGACCCGAAACCCGGUGAUCUAGCCAUGGGCAGGUUGAAGGUUGGGUAACACUAACUGGAGGACCGAACCGACUAAUGUUGAAAAAUUAGCGGAUGACCUGUGGCUGGGGGUGAAAGGCCAAUCAAACCGGGAGAUAGCUGGUUCUCCCCGAAAGCUAUUUAGGUAGCGCCUCGUGAAUUCAUCUCCGGGGGUAGAGCACUGUUUCGGCUAGGGGGCCAUCCCGGCUUACCAACCCGAUGCAAACUGCGAAUACCGGAGAAUGUUAUCACGGGAGACACACGGCGGGUGCUAACGUCCGUCGUGAAGAGGGAAACAACCCAGACCGCCAGCUAAGGUCCCAAAGUCAUGGUUAAGUGGGAAACGAUGUGGGAAGGCCCAGACAGCCAGGAUGUUGGCUUAGAAGCAGCCAUCAUUUAAAGAAAGCGUAAUAGCUCACUGGUCGAGUCGGCCUGCGCGGAAGAUGUAACGGGGCUAAACCAU
Molecule: ribosomal RNA, 601 nt
Filed under: Salmonella enterica subsp. enterica serovar Coeln
Lineage: Bacteria; Pseudomonadati; Pseudomonadota; Gammaproteobacteria; Enterobacterales; Enterobacteriaceae
Description: partial 23S ribosomal RNA
Rfam family: Bacterial large subunit ribosomal RNA
Source: RNAcentral